AGAGAAGAGAGUCAGAGCAGAGCAGUGGAAAUAGGAUAAGGCAGGGAGAGUCACAAGUUGUUUGAUCGGUUGGUUGGUUCGGAUAUAUUCCUCUGUAUAGAAUUAAACUUCAUGAGUUCCUGCCUCUAUCCCACGUUCAUUUUAUAGAAAUCUCCUUCAUUUAUACUUUCCUGCAAUAUUUAACACUUAUUGAGCAACUUGUUUGGUGUUUAUUAAUCUUAUUAACUUCCCGCAACAACUCCAUGAAGAAAGUAGCGUACCCAAACUCCCUGUUAUGCCGGGACCCAAUCCAGUCCCUUCCUUCUGACCCCAAAGCCUGGAGUCCUGCUGGGGCCCUCUGUGUGUGAAGCCCUGAUCCGGGUGCUGGAUGGACUGUGGUGGACACAGUAGGUGUUGGCCCUGACCUCCUGAAACUCACUUUUUAAUUGAGGGAAUUUGGCAAAAAUGACUGUCAAACAAACGAAUAUCUAUGUGUGAAUUAUAAGAUGGGCAGGAAGAGGCUAAGUGAGAGAGAAUUACAGGGCCUUGAUUUGGAUGGGGCACCUGCUCUUAGGAAGCUCACAGUUCGGUGGUAUGGGGAGGACAACUCAGUCAAAGAAAUUAUAUCCUCUGAUAAGAAGUAUAACUGCUCCCCAAAAUGUCCAUACCCUAAUCCCCUGAAACCUGUGAAUCUGUUACGUUACAUUGCUAAAGGGACUUUACAGAUGGAGCUAGGUUAAGGAUAUUGACAUGGGGAGGUUAUCCUGGAUUAUUUGGGUGGGCCCAGUGGAAUGACAGGAGUCCUUACAAGUGAAAGGAGGAGGGCUUAGAGAGAUUGGAAGAUGCCAGGCUACUUGCCUUGCAAACAGAGGAAGGGACUUGAGCCAAGGAAUGCAGGUGCCUCUAGAAGCCAGAAAGGGUGAGAAAUUGCAUCCUCCCCUGGAGCCUCCAGAAGGAACCAGCCCUGCCUGCCAAUGCCUUGAUUUUGGCCCAGUGACACCCAUUUUGGGGUUGUGACCUUCAGAACUUUAAUCCAUGUGUGUUGUUGGAAGCCAGGAAAUGCAUGGUAAUUUGUCACAGCAGCCACAGGAAACUAAUACAGACUCACACAGCAGAGAGUGACAGAGGCUGCCUGGGAGGGUCCUCCUUCAUCGCAGCCCUUCCCUGCUGCUCCCCUGUGCAGAAGAUGCUCCAUGGAACUGUCAGUGAUUUUGCUUGCCAGAUUCUCUCUUGAUUACUCAAAUUAAUAUUCACACACAUACCAAGUCUAAGCACUGCUACUAUCAAGGUCACUGUGACUACCACUUAAGUGGCUGAGUCUAAAUGUCCACCUUGCAGUCUUCUCCUUCCUGGACUUUUCAGCAGCAGAGGACCCAGCUGCUCACCUUCCCUACACAGAAGGCCUUCUUGACUCAACUAUAGGACAUCAUGCUUUUCUGGGUCCACCUCACCUUCUUGGCAACCUCUUUGCCAAUUGCUUCAGGUCUCCCUGACCUUAAAUAUCAGAGCAGCCCCGGGUUCUUUUCUUCUUUACCUUUGCCUUGUGAUCUUAUCCACUGUGUUGGCUUCAUGCCAUCAAUAGGCUAAUGACUCCCAAAUCUGUACCCCCAGCCCACUCCUUUCUCCUGACUAUAGUCUUUGAUCCAGUGGUAUAAUUCAAACCCCCGCGUUCUUGUCCAAAGACACACAAAACUCAACCUAUUCAAUCUGAACUCCUCCUUUUCUUUCCCAAAUCCAUUUCUUCUGCAAUCUUCUCAGCCUCAAUGAUUGGCACCUCCAUUCUUCCCACUGCUCAGGGCAAAAAUCUGGAAGUAAUUCUUGCUCCCUUUCUGUGGCUCACAUUCUAAUUCCAAUUCAUUAACAAAUCCCAGUAGGUUCCACUGCAGAAUUCAUCUGGGAGACAGUCAUGUCUACCACUGCUGCUAUCUUGGUUCCAGCCAACACCACCUUCUGCCUGGGAUGUUCACCAGCCUCCUGUCUACCUCCUAUGCUCUCUCCUUCCCCUGCCACACACACGGUCUCUUCUGCACACAGUGGCCAGAGGAAUCCCAUGAAAAUGAAAGUUGAUCAUGUUCUUCUGGUCUACAGCUAUACCACCCUGAACGGACCCAAUCUCGUCUGAUCAUGUCCUUCUGCUCAAAACUCUCCAAAUGCUCACAGUAGCCUGUGCAGUCAGACACAAUUCACAUAGGCUCAACUCCUCCAAAGUCAUUUCCUGCUCUCAGUCCUGCCUCCCUCUGUCUAAUCACACAGAUGUCCCAUGGCUCCUCUCCUUUCCUCUUCCUGUGCCUGGGCCUUGCUUUGCUCCUCCCUCUGCCUGGAAGGCUCUUCAAUCACACAAUAAAUGUCAGAUCUGAGCCUCCUUCUGUUCCUACUGAAACUAUUCCCAAAUACGGAGGAAGACUGACUCUUCCCUAACUCAUUCUAUGAGGCCAGUAUCAUCCUGAUACCAAAAUCUGGCGAAGACACAACAAAAGAAGAAAACUUCGGGCCAAUAUCCUUGAUGAACAUUGAUGCAAAAAUCCUCAACAAAAUACUUGCAAACUGAAUCCAUCAGCACAUCAGAAGGUUAAUCCAAUAUGAUCAAGUCGGCUUCAUGUUGGUUCAACAUACACAAAUCAAUAAAUGUGAUUCACCACACAAACAGAACUAAAGACAAAAACACAUGAUUAUCUCAAUAGAUGCAGAAAAGGCUUUUGAUAAAAUUCAGCAUCGCUUCGUGUUAAAAACUCUCAGUAAACUAGGUAUUAAAGGAACAUAUCUCAAAAUAAUAAGAGCUAUCUAUGGUGAACGCAGAGCCAACAUCAUAUUGAAUAUGGAAAAGCUGAAAGCAUUCCCCUUGAAAGCCAGCACAAGACAAGGAUGCCCUCUCUCACCACUCCUGUUUAACGUAGUAUUGGAAAUUCUGGCCAGAGCAAUCAGGCAAGAGAAAGAAAUAAAGAGCAUCCAAAUAGGAAGAGAGGAAUUUAAACUAUCCCUCUUUGCAGAUGCAUGAUUCUAUAUCUAGAAAACCUCGUAGUCCCAGCCCAAAAGCUUCUUAAAUGAUAAAUAACUUCAGCAAAGUUUCAGGAUACAAAAUCAAUAUAGAAAAAUCACUAGUAUUUCUAUACAUCAGGAACUACCAAGCCAAGAGUCACAUUAGGAACACAAUCCCAUUCACAAUUGCCACAAAAAGAAUAAAAUUUUUAGAAAUACAGCUAACCAGGGAGGUGAAAGAACUCUACAAUGAGAAUUACAAAACACUGCUCAAAUAAAUCAAAGGUGACACAAAUGGAAAAACAUACUAUGCUCAUGGAUAAAAAGAAUCAAAAUCAUUAAAAUGGCCAUACUGCCCAAAGAAAUUUAUACAUUCAAUGCUAUUUCUAUCAAACUACCAAUGAGAUUCUUCACAGAACUAGAAAAAACAAUUUUAAAAUUCAUAUGAAACCAAAAAAGUGCCCAAAUAGCCAAGGCAAUCCUAAGCAAAAAGAAAACCUGGAGGCAUCACGUUACCCAAAUUUAAACUAUAUUACAAGUCUACAGUAACCAAAACAGCAUGGUAGUGGUACAAAAACAGACACAUAGACCAAUGGAACGGAAUAGAGAGCCCAGAAAUAAAGCCACACACCUACAACAAUUUGAUCUUCAACAAAGCUGACAAAAAAAAGCAAUGGGGAAAGGACUCCUGAUUCAAUAAAUGGUGCUGGGAUAACUGUCUAGCCACAUGCAGAAGAUUGAGUGGGACUGCUUCCUUAUACCACAUAUAAAAAUCAACUCGAGAUGGGUUAAAAACUUAAAUGUAAAACUCAAAACUAUAAAAACUCUGGAAGACAAUGUAGGCAAUAUCGUUCUGGAUAAACAGGCAAAGAUUUCCUGACAAAGAUGCCAAAGCAAUCACAACAAAAGCAAAAAUUGACAAAUGGGAUCUAAUUAAACUUAAGAGCUCCUGCACAGCAAAAUAAACCAUCAACAGAGUAAACAACCGGAAUGGGAGAAAAUACUUGCAAACUAUGCAUUAGGCAAAGGUCUAAUAUCCAGCAUCUAUAAGGAACUUAAACAAAUUUACAAGAGAAAAACAACCCCAUUAAAAAGUGAGCAAAGGACAUGAACAGACAUUUUUGGCCAACAGACAUAUGAGAAAAAGCUCAUUAUCGCUGAUCACUAGAGAAACGCAAAUCAGAACCACAAUGAAAUAUCAUCUCACACCAGUCAGAAUGGCUACUUUUAAAAAGUAAAAAAAAUCACAGAGGCUGGCAAGGCUGCAGAGAAAAGGGAACACUUAUACUGUCGGCAGGAGUGUAAAUUAGUUCAACCACUGUGGAAAGCAGUAUGGUAAUUUCCUGAAGAGCUAAAAGCAGAACUAUCAUUUGACAUAGCAAUCACAUUACUGGUUUUAUACUCAGAGUAAUAAAAAUCAUUCUACCAUAAAGACACAUACAAGCAAAUGUUCAUUGUAGUACUAUUCACAAUAGCAAAUAUAUGAAAUUAACCUAAAUGCCCAUCCAUGACAGAAUGGAUAAAGAAAAUAUGGUACAAAUACACCAUGGAAUACUGUGCAGCCAUAAAAAAGAAUGAGAUUAUGUCUUUUGUGGGAACAUGGAUGGAGCUGGAGGCCAUUAUCCUUAGCAAACGAACACAGGAACAGAAAACCAAAUACUGCAUGUUCUCACUUAUCAGUGAGAGCUAAAUGAUGAGAACUCAUGAACACAAAGAAGAGAACAACAGACACUGGGGCCCACUUGAAGGUGGAGGGUGGGAGGAGAGAGAGGAACAGAAAAAAAUAACUGUGGGGUACUAGGCUUAGGACCUGGGUGACAAAAUAAUCUGUACCACAAACCCCUCUGACCAGAGUUUAUGUAUGUAACAAACCUGCACAUGUACCCCCAAACCUAAAAUAAGAGUUUUUUUUAAAACUAUCACAAUUACUGAGAUUUUUGGCACCUUCUUAAAUUUUGCAUGCUAGGCCAGGACCUCACUCAUCUCACACUAAUUCCAGCCCUGCUAGAGAGGUAGAUGUUUAAGAGACGAGAAUGUGCAGGGCUGCAGUUAUGAAGUUUGGGCUUUUUCUCUAGGUUAGGGCUUGUCAAACUAGAGCCCUUGGGACAAAUUCUACCCAC
This 5075-nucleotide long non-coding RNA is filed under the name Homo sapiens (human). RNAcentral's name for it is "HSALNT0261680". The record is from RNAcentral. Lineage: Eukaryota; Metazoa; Chordata; Mammalia; Primates; Hominidae.